Cyprinus carpio carpio is the source of this 6575-nucleotide long non-coding RNA. NCBI's taxonomy places the organism in Eukaryota, Metazoa, Chordata, Actinopteri, Cypriniformes, Cyprinidae. The record is from Ensembl.
AGUGGUUCACAGAUAAUGUUGCAGACACAAGUGGAUUAGCACAAUUCCAUGAUUUUAUAGAUUGACCAUUUUACAUCCUUUAAAGGAGCCAACCAUGUCUGACUAAUUCUGAGAAGGAGCAACAACCGUAUGCUGUUUCACUCAGGGAGCACCAAUGACCAACAAUUGUACCCUGCAGGAAACACUCAUGCCCGAGUGUUCCCCACAGGGAGCUCCCAUGCCAAGAUUGUUCACUCUAGGAUUAUCUGUACCUGCCUCUUCCACACGGAACCUUCGUGUUCAGAAAGGGCAAUCACCGUCUUCAUGUCUGUUCCAGGAGCGCCGGGAGUAUAAACCUCAAGCCUCCUUGAGACAGAGAGCACCCAGGUGUGUUAAGACCCCAGAGAGAUUAUCUGAGCUUCAGUGUUCCUCACAGGAAGCGCCCCUGUCUGAGGGUUUCUCAGGAACACCUGUGCUGGAGUAUUCUUCUCAAGGAACACCGGUUUCCAUAGAAUCCCUGCAGGGAGUAAACAUGCCUGCUCAGACCCCUCAGGGAGCACCUCUGCUUGAGAGUUUUCCAGAGGGAGGGCCAGUGUUCAAGUGUUUUCAAGAGGGAGCACCAAUGACCAUGUGUUCCCCACAGGCAGCUUCUGUGAUUGAGUGUUCCCCACAGGGAGCUCUGGGAUUAUCUGUACCCACCCUUCAUGUCCAGAAAAGGCGAUCACAGCCUUCAUGUCUGUUUCAGGAGCGCCGGGAGUAUAAGCCUCAAGCCUCCUUGAGACAGAGAGCACCUAAGCCUGUUAAGUUCCCACAGAGAUCACCUGUGCCUGAGUGUUCCUCAGAGGGAGCACCUGUGCUUGAGUGUUCCACUCAGGGAACUCAAGUUUCCACAGGAUCCCUGCAGGGAUUAUAUAUGCCAGCUGAGGCACCACAGGGAGAAUCUGUGCUUGCCGAUUUCCCAAAGGGAUGGCCAUUUUUCAAGUGUUCCCCAGAAGGAUCAUUCAUACCCAAGUGUUCCACACAGGGAGCAUAUGUGUCCAAAUGUUCCACACAGAGAGAAUAUGUGCACACCGGGAGCAUACAAGGAGCAAUGGUGCUUAAGUGUUCCCCACAGGGAGAACCUGUGUUUGGGUUGCCCCCAGCAGAACCGUUUAUUCCCAAAGGUUCCCCUCAGGGAGCAUUUUCCAAUCAUGGAACACCCAUGCCCAAGUUGUUUACCCUGGGAAAAUCUGUACCCAUCUUAUCCACAAAGAAGUACCAGUUACAUAAGUAUCGAACUUUCUUGAGACAGAGAACACACUUGUCUGUCAAGACCGCACAGAAAUCUCCUGUGCCUGAGUUUUCCUCACAGGGAGCACCUGUGACUGAAUGUUUCCCAAAAGAAGCACCCCUGUCUGAGUGUUUCUCAGGAACACCUGUGCUGGAGUAUUCUUCUCAAGGAACACCGGUUUCCACAGGAUCCCUGCAGGGAGUAUACAUACCUGCUAAGACCCCACAGGGAGCACCUCUGCUUGAGAGUUUUCCAGAGGGAGGGCCAGUGUUCAAGUGUUCGCCAGAGGGUUCAUACAUACCCAUGUGUUCUCCACAGGGAGCACCCAUGUCCAAGUGUUCGACACAGGGAGCCCCUGUAUUACAGGAAGAUCCUGUGUCUGGGUGUUUUCAAGAGGGAGCACCAAUGCCCAUGUGCUCCCCACAGGCAGCUUCUGUGACUGAGUGUUCCCCACAGGGAGCUCUGGGAUUAUCUGUACCCACCCUUCAUGUCCAGAAAGGGCGAUCACAGCCUUCAUGUCUGUUUCAGGAGCGCCGGGAGUAUAAGCCUCAAGCCUCCUUGAGACAGAGAGCACCUAAGCCUGUUAAGUCCCCACAGAGAUCACCUGUGCUUGAGUGUUACACUCAGGGAACUCCAGUUUCCACAGAAUCCCUGCAGGGAGUAUAUUUGCCAGCUGAGACCCCACAGGGAGAAUCUGUGCUUGCAAAUUUCCCAGAGGGAGGGCCACUGCUCAAGUGUUCCCCAGAGGGAUCAUUCAUACCCAAGUGUUCCACACAGGGAGCACGUGUGUCCAAAUGUUCCACACAGAGAGAAUAUGUGCACACCGGGAGCAUACAAGGAGCAAUGGUGCUUAAGUGUUCCCCACAGGGAGAACCUGUGUUUGAGUCGCCCCCAGCGGAACCGUUUAUUCCCAAAGGUUCCCCUCAGGGAGCAUUUUCCAAUCAUGGAACACCCAUGCCCAAGUUGUUCACCCUGGGAAUAUCUGUACCCGUCUUAUCCACAAAGGACAAACAGCUACAUAAGUAUCAAGCCUUCUUGAGACAGAGAAAACGCUUGUCUGUCAAGACUGCAAAGAAAUCUCCUGUGCCUGAGUUUUCCUCACAGGGAGCACCUGUGACUGAAUGUUUACCAAAGGAAGCACCCCUGUCUGAGUGUUUCUCAGGAACACCUGUGCUGGAGUAUUCUUCUCAAGGAAAACUGGUUUCCACAGGAUCCCCACAGGAAGUAUACAUGCCUGCUAAGACCCCACAUGAAGCACCUCUGCUUGAGAGUUAUCCAGAGGGAGGGCCGGUGUUUGAGUUACCCCCAGCGGAAGCGUUCACUCCCGAAGGUUCCCCUCAGGGAGCAUCUUCCAAUCAUAGAACACCCAUGCCCAAGUUGUUCACCCUAGGAAUAUCUAUACCCGUCUUAUCCACAAAGAAGUACCAGCUACAUAAGUAUCAAGCUUUCUUGAGACAGAGAACACAUUCAUCUGUCAAGACCGCACAGAAAUCUCCUGUGCCUGAGUUUUCCUCUCAGGGAGUACCUGUGACUGAAUGUUUCCCAAAGGAAGCACCCCUGUCUGAGUGUUUCUCAGGAACACCUGUGCUGGAGUAUUCUUCUCAAGGAACACUGGUUUCCACAGGAUCCACACAGGAAGUAUACAUGGCUGCUAAGACCCCACAGGAAGCACCUCUGCUUGAGAGUUAUUCAGAGGGAGGGCCGGUGUUUGAGUUACCCCCAGCGGAAGUGUUUACUCCCGAAGGUUCCCCUCAGGGAGCAUCAUCCAAUCAUAGAACACCCAUGCCUAAGUUGUUUACCCUAGGAACAUCUGUACCCGUCUUAUCCACAAAGAAAAACCAGCUACAUAAGUGUCAAGCCUUCUUGAGACAGAGAAAAUGCUUGUCUGUCAAGACUGCACAGAAAUCUCCUGUGCCCGAGUCUUCCUCUCAGGGAGCACCUGUGACUGAAUGUUUCCCACAGAAAGAACCCAUUCUUGAGUGUUACCCAGAGGAAGGACCCAUGAUUGUGUAUUCCCUGGAGGAAGAACCCAUGCUUGUGUGUUCCAUAGAUGAAGAACCCAUGUUUGUGUGUUCCCCAGAGGAAGAAUCCGUGAUUGUGUGUUCCCCAGAGGAAGAACCCAUGCUUGUGUGUUCCUCAGAGGAAGAACCCAUGCUUGUGAGUUUCUCAGAAAAAACUUCAGAGUCUGAGUUUUCUCCACAGGAAGCACUCAUGCUUGAGUCUUCCCCUCAGGGAGCAUCUUCCCCUCAUCAAAAACCCUUGCCUGAUGGCUUCCCUCUUGAAGCUUCCAUACCCAAGUUAGUCAGUCUGGCAAUAUCUUCACUCGUUUCUUCCAUAUGGAAGCGCCAGAAGCAUAAGUCUCAACCUUCCUUGAGACAGAGAACACUUUUACCUGCCAGGUCCUCACAGAAAUCACCUGUACCAGAGAGUUCUUCACAAGAUGCGGCCAUGCCUGAGUGUUCCCCUGAGGAAGCAUCCAUGACCACCGGGACCCCACAAAACUUGUCUUGUGACCAUCUUGACAAAGCUACAGUGGAGGCAACAGAACCCUGCAGGUCCCCAUAUAAUAAGGCAAGGAUGUCACAGGGAGUCUCCGAACCUGCCAAGGGUCAAAAAGAAGCAUCCAUGUCUGAGUGUUCCCCAGAGGAAGAAGAACCCAUGCUUGUGUGUUCCAUAGAGGAAGAACCCAUGCUUGUGUGUUACCCAGAGGAAGAACCCAUGCUUGUGUGUUACCCAGAGGAAGAACCCAUGCUUGUGUGUUUCUCAGAGAAAGCACCCAAGCCUGAGUUUCCCCCACAGGAAGCCCUCAUGCCUGAGUCUUACCCUCAGGGAGCAUCUUCCCCUCGUCAAACACCCUCGCCCUCUGGCUUCCCUGAAGAAGCUCCCAUGCCCAAGUUAUUAAAUCUUGGAAUAUCUUCACCCGUUUCUUCCACAAGGAAACACCAGCAGGAUAAGUCUCAAGCUUCCACAAGGAAACACCAGCAGGAUAAGUCUCAAGCUUCCACAACGAAGCACCAGCAGGAUAAGUCUCAAGCUUCCUCGAAACAGAGAAAACUCUUGCCUGUUAAGUCCUCACAGAAAUCACCUGUGCCAGAGAGUUCUUCACAAGGAGCAGCCAUGCCUAAGAGUUCAUCUCAGGAAGCAUCCAUGCACACUGGGACCCCACAAAACCUGUCUUGUGACCAUCUUGACAAAGCUACAGUGGAGGCAACAGAACCCUACAGGUCCCCAUAUAAUAAGGCAAGGAUGUCACAGGGAGUCUCCCAACCUGCCAAGGGUCAAAAAGAAGCACCCAUGCCUGAGUGUUCCUCAGAGGAAGAAGAACCCAUGCUUGUGUGUUACCCAGAGGAAGAACCCAUGCUUGUGUGUUACCCAGAGGAAGAACCCAUGCUUGUGUGUUUCUCAGAGAAAGCAUCCAAGCCUGAGUUUUCCCCACAGGAAGCCCUCAUGCCUGAGUCUUACCCUCAGGAAGUAUCUUCCCCUCGUCAAACACCCUCGCCCUCUGGCAUCCCUGAUGAAGCUCCCAUGCCCAAGUUAUUCAAUCUUGGAAUAUCUUCGCCCGUUUCUUCCACAAGGAAGCACCAGCAGGAUAAGUCUCAAGCUUCCUUGAAACACAGAAAGAAACUAUUGCCCGUCAAGUCCUUACAGAAAUCACCUGUGCCAGAGAGUUCUUCACAAGGAGCAGCCAUGCCUGAGUGUUCCUCUCAGGAAGCAUCCAUGCACACCGGGACCCCACAAAGCCUUUCUCUUCUUACAGUCCAUCUUGACAAAGCAAAGGUGGAGGAACCAUACAGGUCCUCAUUUAAUAAGGCUAGGACGUCACAGGGAGUAUCCCAACCUGCCAAGACUCUGAAAGAAACACCCAUGCCUGAAUGUUCCUCAGAGGAAGAACCCCUGCUUGUGUAUUCCCCGGAGGAAGAACCCAUGAUUGUGUGUUCCCCAGAGGAAGAACCUAUGCUUGUGUGUUCCCUGGAGGAAGAACCCAUGCUUGUGUGUUCCCUGGAGAGACUACCUGAGCCUGAGUUUUCCCCACAGGGAGCACCAACUCUGUCCCUUCAGCAAUACAAUAAAUGUGCUCCAUGCAAAAAACAGCACACAAUAAAAGAUGCGAAGGUACAGCAGAAGCCUCAAAGAAGGAGAAAAAAGAGGAACCAAAGGCAGCAGGCAAGACCUUGUCCGAGCUCCCAACCUAAUCUGAAAAGAAAAUAUGCAUGUAGCAGAAACAAACUGGACAACUUAAAUGUAUGUCAGCUUUCAAGGAGGAAAAAUACAAACAACAGAGGUCAACGCUUCUUUCACCUCAGAGCCUGUCCAUGCAGCCAUAUUUAUUUGAGAAGUCAGCAGUCGAGACAGCGAAACUCUUGUGCCCGUCAACCGCCAAAUGCAGACCAAAUGCAAAGAGCUCAUUGGAACCCUUACCCAAGAUCCUGUCCACGGUACCAACCCAGUUGGUGGAGACAGCAAAACCCGCAUACCCAUCAAAGAGGACCAAUGCAUCUGAGGCAAAGAACUGUAAGACUUCCCCCCAGAGCAUAUCCAUGGCCCAGGCAGUGGAACCCUCAUCGCCCUCAAUCACGACCAUCAGAUCUGGGACAAAGAGCUCAGAGAGCUCCCCCAAGAGCACAUCCAUGGUUCCAGCCAAGUUUGUGGAGGCAACAGAAUGUUUAUGCUUCUCAAUCACAACCACGGCAUCUGGGGCAAAGAGCUAUGAGGCUUCAUCCAAGAACAUAUCCAUGGUCCCAUCCCUAUUUUAGGAGGCAGAAGAACCCUCAUGCCCAUCAAUCACGACCAUCACAUUUAGGGCAAAGAGAACUGAGGGUUCAUCCAAGAGUGCAUCCUUCAGUCCAGCCCCACUUGUGGAGGCAACAGAAUGCUUAUGCCCCUCAAUCAAGACCAUGGCAUCUGGGGCAAAGAGCUCUGAGGCUUCACCCAAGAGCAUAUCUAUGGUCCCAUCCCCAUUUUUGGAGGCAGCAAAAUCCUAAUGCCUAUCAGUCACGACUAUCACAUCUGGGGCAAAGAGCUCUGAGGGUUCACCCAAGAGCCUAUUCAUGAUUCCACUCCAACUCAUGAGUCACCUAGUUCGUAAAAUAUUUGGUGACUAAAAGCCCCAACUGAAAACAUUUUUAUACUUUAGAAAAAUUUACAUUUAUUUUUAUAAUCUGUGCAUUUGUAAGAAAAUAUCUGUGCAUUUGUAAGGAAAUAUCUGCAUUUAUAAGAAAAUGUGCAUUUUUAUGAAAAUAUCUGUGCAUUAGUAAGAAAAUAUCUGUGCAUUUGUAAGAAAGUAUCUCUGCAUUUGUAAAAAAAUAAAUAAAAAUCUGUUAAUUUA